This 91-nucleotide microRNA precursor is filed under the name Lotus japonicus. RNAcentral's name for it is "miR7543 stem-loop (lja-MIR7543)". Lineage: Eukaryota; Viridiplantae; Streptophyta; Magnoliopsida; Fabales; Fabaceae. The record is from miRBase by way of RNAcentral.
GAUUUCUUUGGGGUUUUAAUGAUACAUGUUUGACUCCCUUAAACAAGGUCUCAUCGAGUCUUGUGUAUGGUAAAAACACCUGCUUGGGGUU